Molecule: ribosomal RNA, 831 nt
Filed under: uncultured bacterium
Lineage: Bacteria
Description: bacterial SSU rRNA
Rfam family: Bacterial small subunit ribosomal RNA
Source: RNAcentral
GACGAACGCUGGUGGCGUGCUUAACAACAUUGCAAGUCGAGCGACAGCACUCUUCGGGGGUGUAUGGAGCGGCGAACGGGGUGAGUAACACGCGGGCAACCUGCCCUCAGCUUGGGGACAACUCCGGGAAACCGGGGCUAAUACCGGAUACGACCUUCCCUCGCAUGGGGGUUGGUGGAAAGUUUUUCGGAUGAGGAUGGGCCCGCGGCCUAUCAGCUUGUUGGUGGGGUGAUGGCCUACCAAGGCGACGACGGGUAGCCGGCCUGAGAGGGCGACCGGCCACACUGGGACUGAGACACGGCCCAGACUCCUACGGGAGGCAGCAGUGGGGAAUAUUGCGCAAUGGGCGGAAGCCUGACGCAGCGACGCCGCGUGAGGGAUGAAGGCCUUCGGGUUGUAAACCUCUUUCAGCAGGGACGAAGCGAGAGUGACGGUACCUGCAGAAGAAGCACCGGCCAACUACGUGCCAGCAGCCGCGGUAAUACGUAGGGUGCAAGCGUUGUCCGGAAUUAUUGGGCGUAAAGAGCUCGUAGGCGGUCUGUCGCGUCGGCUGUGAAAACUCGGGGCUCAACCCCGAGCCUGCAGUCGAUACGGGCAGACUAGAGUGCUGUAGGGGAGACUGGAAUUCCUGGUGUAGCGGUGAAAUGCGCAGAUAUCAGGAGGAACACCGGUGGCGAAGGCGGGUCUCUGGGCAGUAACUGACGCUGAGGAGCGAAAGCGUGGGGAGCGAACAGGAUUAGAUACCCUGGUAGUCCACGCCGUAAACGGUGGGUGCUAGGUGUGAGCGGUAUUCCACGCCGUUCGUGCCGCAGCUAACGCAUUAAGCACCCC